CUUUACUGACGCUAAAGCUCGAAAGUGCGGGUAUCGAACAGGAUUAGAUACCCUGGUAGUCCGCACGGUAAACGAUGGAUGCCCGCUGUUGGCGAUACACGGUCAGCGGCCAAGCGAAAGCGUUAAGCAUCCCACCUGGGGAGUACGCCGGCAACGGUGAAACUCAAAGGAAUUGACGGGGGCCCGCACAAGCGGAGGAACAUGUGGUUUAAUUCGAUGAUACGCGAGGAACCUUACCCGGGCUUGAACUGCAGCAGAACGAUAGAGAGAUCUUGAGGCCCUUCGGGGCUGCUGUGGAGGUGCUGCAUGGUUGUCGUCAGCUCGUGCCGUGAGGUGUCGGCUUAAGUGCCAUAACGAGCGCAACCCCUUUCCUCAGUUGCCAUCAGGUUAUGCUGGGCACUCUGGAGACACUGCCGCCGUAAGGUGUGAGGAAGGUGGGGAUGACGUCAAAUCAGCACGGCCCUUACGUCCGGGGCUACACACGUGUUACAAUGGGUGAUACAGAGAGUCAGUGCAUGGCAAUAUGCAUUCAAUCAAUAAAGUCAUCCUCAGUUCGGAUUGGGGUCUGCAACCCGACCCCAUGAAGCUGGAUUCGCUAGUA
This 601-nucleotide ribosomal RNA is filed under the name uncultured bacterium. RNAcentral's name for it is "bacterial SSU rRNA". It matches the Rfam family "Bacterial small subunit ribosomal RNA", at positions 735 to 1340 of the family's 1533-position model. The record is from RNAcentral.